Molecule: long non-coding RNA, 643 nt
Filed under: Musa acuminata (dwarf banana)
Lineage: Eukaryota; Viridiplantae; Streptophyta; Magnoliopsida; Zingiberales; Musaceae
Description: long non-coding RNA (MACU_LNC009092)
Source: RNAcentral
UCGCAAACUUAUGAAGUUUUGGGUCCUUCCUCCAUAAAAUUUGCUCAUUGACUCUUCUUUCACUUAGUUGUCACAUCCAAGUAGGUUCGCAUCACUUCCGCUUUCGAUUGGCAUUUCGUUGGGAAAUGAAGCAGACAAUCUACUCUCAGUAGCACUGAUCACCGUUGGUGAGGAUUUGAUAACUAUUGUCUUCCAUUAUCUUCGAAGGGUCUUUGAACUUGUGCAGAGCUCCUCUACUGGAUAGAUAAGAGAAUUGGGGUACUCGACUUCGCCCAUUCUCUUAAGAGUUGAGAAGGCAAAGGUUACUUGACUUCGCCCGCCUCCUCGAGGUUUUACUCCAUGCAUCGAGCUGGUUACUAGCCUUCGCCCGCUCUUUGCUCACACUUCUGAAGCACUUGAAGUGUUUGCACUCCUUGCAUUGAGUUAGUUACUGUGAUUCACCUUCUCAAUGUCAUCGAACUUCUGGAAUGCAGGAAGUUUUCACCCCAUCUUGGAGUAAUUCUCUCAUAGGUUUGGUCGCCUUUGGGAUUGUACCGUCUUCUCCAUCAACCCUGCCGCCUACUCCUCUGAGUAGCAAAGGUACAGCACCGCGUACUGCUUGCUUCGUUCCUUGGUUAUGCACUCUUGCAUGACCCGAAGUCCU